UUAAUUUGCAACUAACAAAUUAGCAAAUUUGAUUUGAUUUGCGUUGUUAACUUUUAACAACGAAUUAAAUUUUAACAAACCAUUUUAUAAACGGGCCCCAAACGUUAUAUUAAAUAAUCACACUAACAAGAAGUAAUAAAUAAUAAUUAACACGAAAGUAUUGAUGUACGAUAUAAAAUAAUUGAGAAAUUUUUUAUUCAGUAAUUUGUUAAAAUCGGGUAAUUAAUUAUGAAGUCGCAAUUUAUGGCACUUUUUACACAUUUCUAAAAAAAUUAUUGAUGAAACUAAUUUUUAUCGAGGAUUAAUUUUUUAUUCGUUUUCACUUUUGUUAGCUCUUUUGUCACAACUAAUAAUAAUAGACAAAAGUCUUGUAUCACUCAAGGAUGAAAUAUCACGGGAUUAAACUAUUGAAGCUGGAUUUUAACCACUAAACAAAUAUUUGAAGACGUAAUCCGUUAAAACACUGGAUUAAAAGAGAAUUAGGACAAAUUCAAUUCAAUUUUAUCUAUCUAAUCAGCAGAUUAGACUGUUGUUUAUCCACCACGUUUAUAAAAGAGAUUCUGCUCUCGAUACCUCAGUAGAUAUCGCAAUGAAAGUGCCAGUACUGAUAGUACUAGCCCUCGUGGGCUUGUCUAGUGCCAAAUACGAGGGCUCAACAAUCUUGAGUUUAGCAUUGAAAUCGAAAAUGUUGGAACCGCCAUUCAGGCUGAAAAACACUACCACAAAUCGAGACAAGCUUUAGGUUUGGGAAAAAUUACUUACGCCACGUUGAGAUUAAUGCUUAUUUGGCCCAACUGGCUAAAGACUACCCCGACACUGUCACUCUAGAAACAAUCGGACAGUCGUACGAAAAACAUUCCCCGACUACAAUCCGAUCUAUUCUUACAGCAUCUCCUCUUUCACGACAGCUUAUACCGUUUAUAGGUAUGUGUCUAUCGAGGAGAAUCAUCGGCACGACCAUCAAUCCUGAAUUCGUCUUCGACUCAUGAGCCUUUGGCCUUUGGCGAAUCAACAGGACAGUAAAAUUAGCUGAACUUGGUGAACAAACCAAGCAUUUGGAAAUUUAAUUAUUAAUUUUAUUAUUAACACCAUAAACAAAUCAUUAGCAGAAUAAUAAAAUAAGUAUUAAUUUUUUUAACAUAAUAAAUUAUAAUAGUGUAUCACUACAGACAGAUUUACUUAUUCCUUCAGUUCCAACUUGAUAUGUUAUAAAAACUUUCUUCUCCUCUGGCUCGAAUGUCAAACCAGCGUAAAUCUUUUUUGAAAUGUGUUUAUAGUCAGGUUCAUCAAAUUUAGUGUAAUAUUGCUUCUCAAAAAUUUGUUGUAAAGCUUCAUUUGCAGACUUGGAAUACAUUUUGUAUUCAAAAAUGAUUCCAACGUUCUUACUGAUUAUCACCACAUCUAGGGUAUUGGCUAUCCCUGGUCCUUUUCUUUUUUUCUUGAUCUGGACCUCACUGUGUGUUUCGAAGUAUCUGGAGUUAUAUGUCAGAGUAUACAAGAUGUGAUGAAGUUCUUUUUCGUUCAUGAUCCCCUGUGAUUCAGA
Molecule: long non-coding RNA, 1543 nt
Organism: Tribolium castaneum (red flour beetle)
Lineage: Eukaryota; Metazoa; Arthropoda; Insecta; Coleoptera; Tenebrionidae
Exons: 2
Source: RefSeq, a predicted model, not a curated record